CCUACGUGGGGCAGCAGUGGGGAAUAUUGGACAAUGGGCGAAAGCCUGAUCCAGCCAUGCCGCGUGUGGGAAGAAGGCCUUCGGGUUGUAAAGCACUUUCGGUGGGGAAGAAAGCCUGGGGUCUAAUACCCUCGGGUAAGGACAUCACCGACAGAAGAAGCACCGGCUAACUCCGUGCCAGCAGCCGCGGUAAUACGGAGGGUGCGAGCGUUAAUCGGAAUUACUGGGCGUAAAGCGCGCGUAGGCGGUCUGAUAAGCCGGUUGUGAAAGCCCCGGGCUCAACCUGGGAACGGCAUCCGGAACUGCCAGGCUAGAGUGCAGGAGAGGAAGGUAGAAUUCCAGGUGUAGCGGUGAAAUGCGUAGAGAUCGGGAGGAAUACCAGUGGCGAAGGCGGCCCCCUGGACUGAUACUGACGCUGAGGUGCGAAAGCGUGGGUAGCAAACAGGAUUAGAUACCCUAGUAGUC
RNAcentral lists this ribosomal RNA (465 nucleotides) under Vreelandella stevensii. Its description in RNAcentral is "partial 16S ribosomal RNA". It matches the Rfam family "Bacterial small subunit ribosomal RNA", at positions 338 to 795 of the family's 1533-position model. The record is from RNAcentral. Lineage: Bacteria; Pseudomonadati; Pseudomonadota; Gammaproteobacteria; Oceanospirillales; Halomonadaceae.